RNAcentral lists this ribosomal RNA (444 nucleotides) under uncultured Christensenellaceae bacterium. RNAcentral's name for it is "bacterial SSU rRNA". It matches the Rfam family "Bacterial small subunit ribosomal RNA", at positions 337 to 795 of the family's 1533-position model. The record is from RNAcentral. Lineage: Bacteria; Bacillati; Bacillota; Clostridia; Christensenellales; Christensenellaceae.
GCCUACGGGUGGCUGCAGUGGGGAAUAUUGGGCAAUGGGCGCAAGCCUGACCCAGCAACGCCGCGUGAGGGAAGAAGGCUUUCGGGUUGUAAACCUCUGUCCUUGGUGACGAAACAAAUGACGGUAGCCAAGGAGGAAGCCCCGGCUAACUACGUGCCAGCAGCCGCGGUAAUACGUAGGGGGCGAGCGUUGUCCGGAAUUACUGGGCGUAAAGGGUGCGUAGGUGGCCUUUUAAGUUGGAUGUGAAAUACCCGGGCUUAACUUGGGGGGUGCAUCUAAUACUGGAGGGCUAGAGUGCAGGAGAGGAAAGCGGAAUUCCUAGUGUAGCGGUGAAAUGCGUAGAUAUUAGGAGGAACACCAGUGGCGAAGGCGGCUUUCUGGACUGUAACUGACACUGAGGCACGAAAGCGUGGGGAGCAAACAGGAUUAGAUACCCCUGUAGUC